This 484-nucleotide ribosomal RNA is filed under the name uncultured bacterium. RNAcentral's name for it is "partial 16S ribosomal RNA". It matches the Rfam family "Bacterial small subunit ribosomal RNA", at positions 30 to 507 of the family's 1533-position model. The record is from RNAcentral.
AUUGAACGCUGGCGGCAGGCCUAACACAUGCAAGUCGAGCGGAUGAAGGGAGCUUGCUCCUGGAUUCAGCGGCGGACGGGCGAGUAAUGCCUAGGAAUCUGCCUGGUAUUGGGGGAUAACGUCCGGAAACGGGCGCUAAUAUCGCAUACGUCCUGAGGGAGAAAGUGGGGGAUCUUCGGACCUCACGCUAUCAGAUGAGCCUAGGUCGGAUUAGCUAGUUGGUUGGGUAAAGGCCUACCAAGGCGACGAUCCGUAACUGGUCUGAGAGGAUGAUCAGUCACACUGGAACUGAGACACGGUCCAGACUCCUACGGGAGGCAGCAGUGGGGAAUAUUGGACAAUGGGCGAAAGCCUGAUCCAGCCAUGCCGCGUGUGUGAAGAAGGUCUUCGGAUUGUAAAGCACUUUAAGUUGGGAGGAAGGGCAGUAAGUUAAAACCUUGCUGUUUUGACGUUACCAACAGAAAAAGCACCGGCUAACUUCGUG